Small nucleolar RNA from Anastrepha obliqua, 129 nucleotides. RefSeq annotates it as small nucleolar RNA SNORA15. The transcript has a single exon. The record is from RefSeq and is a predicted model, not a curated record. NCBI's taxonomy places the organism in Eukaryota, Metazoa, Arthropoda, Insecta, Diptera, Tephritidae.
GCAAGGAUUAAUUCCGUUAAUGUUUUUCGAUUUCGUUUGCGGCCAGACACCUUGCAAGAUAAAAAUAUAUUUAAUUAUACAUUUUCUUAAAGUGUUUAUUGUGCACUUUAAGUAAAAUGUAUUACUAGA